UGUAGACUUCUCUCGUGCUCCGGACGUUAAUGUCUGGGCACUGGGCACUGCUGUGGGCUUGAAAUUACUCCGUGGUUUAAUAAGCACUGUUAAUCAACUUUUUUUUUUCUUUCUUUCUUUUUUUUCUUUUUGCCCAAGUAGUCAAUUGGAUGAUGCAAACUUUCUAUCCCAAAUAGGUAAGCAGCACCUGAGCCGGAUAAACUCCGCUGCGCCUCACGUUACCUGGAAGCGCUGGCCAGGGAUCCUUGGUAGAGAGUCUGGAAUAGGAUAAGAAACCAGAUAGUUGUGUGUCCAUCUGUCCGUGCCAGUCGUCCCCCCUGGACCUGCUGAAAAUCAGACCGCUCACGCACAACAGGUUUUUUCAAGAGGCAAGUUGCAGCUCUCGCAAAAAAACAAAUCAAAGUGAGAAAACUUUUGCUUCAAGUUCAGAGCAAAGAAAGUAAACAUUUCUGUAACACUGUAGGUAUUGCCAGGAUCUUCCAGCAAAAUCAGAUAGAGAUGUAUUACAAGGGCUUAUCAAUAAUAUUUAUAUGCUCACGCAAAUACAUCUAUGUGUCCGUAAAAGGAACGAUCCAGACCCCAGAAGGUUAAGACCUGCUGGCCAACGAUAGUUUUCUAAAUCGACCUUGUCGGCUUUCGCUUGUGACUUUCCAGCAGAGGGAAACGCAGCCCAAGCGAUGAGGGCUGGUGGGAGCGACAGGCAGCCCUGGCAAACACCAACUGUCUCUGUUCUCUUUUAACUCCACUUUCUUCCUCUGCCAAACUCUGAUGCAUGCUGAGUGAUUAAAAAUAUCAAAUAGCCCUCAAGUUUCAGUGUUACCCAGCAAGGAGUCAAGUCAGGGGGAAAAAAAAAAAAA
This is a non-coding RNA of Struthio camelus australis, 857 nucleotides long. NCBI's taxonomy places the organism in Eukaryota, Metazoa, Chordata, Aves, Struthioniformes, Struthionidae. The record is from RefSeq and is a predicted model, not a curated record.